UGAGACCUCUUGAUGGCCGCGGCCGUGAUCUUCAUUGGGAUCGGCUGAGGAACUUCCGGGCUCCAUAGAGCACGAUGGCGGAUAACGUCCGCCCAGGGUGACCUGAGAGAUAGCGCAACAGAGAACAGACCGCCCGUCCUCGACGGGUAAGGGUGAAACGGCGGUGUAAGAGACCACCGGGCCUCUGGUAACAGUAGGUCGCAUGGCAAGCCUCAUCGGGAGCAAGGCCAAGCAGAUGGCGGUAAGGGCUGCUCGCCCGUGUCAUCGGGUAGGCUGCUAGAGCCUGGCGGUAACGUCAGGUCGAGAUGGAUGGCCAUCCGUGCCGUGCGUUCGCGCNNNNNNNNNNCCGUGCGUUCGCGCACGGCACGACAGAACCCGGGGUAUAAGAGGUCUCAUUUU
RNAcentral lists this RNase P RNA (399 nucleotides) under Bifidobacterium longum. RNAcentral describes it as "RNase P RNA component class A". It matches the Rfam family "Bacterial RNase P class A". Rfam says of the family: Ribonuclease P (RNase P) is a ubiquitous endoribonuclease, found in archaea, bacteria and eukarya as well as chloroplasts and mitochondria. Its best characterised activity is the generation of mature 5'-ends of tRNAs by cleaving the 5'-leader elements of precursor-tRNAs. Cellular RNase Ps are ribonucleoproteins. The record is from RNAcentral. Lineage: Bacteria; Bacillati; Actinomycetota; Actinomycetes; Bifidobacteriales; Bifidobacteriaceae.